Molecule: microRNA precursor, 77 nt
Filed under: Medicago truncatula (barrel medic)
Lineage: Eukaryota; Viridiplantae; Streptophyta; Magnoliopsida; Fabales; Fabaceae
Description: MIR2629 microRNA precursor family
Rfam family: MIR2629 microRNA precursor family
Source: Rfam by way of RNAcentral
UAAUCAGUUUUCCUCGGCAGUUAACUGCAGCCGGAUUUCAAAUUCCUCGACAAUUUCGGCAGUUAACUGCCGAGGGG